UACAGAGGUCUCAAGCGUUGUUCGGAUUCAUUGGGCGUAAAGGGUGCGUAGGCGGCGCGGUAAGUCGGGUGUGAAAUCUCGGAGCUUAACUCCGAAACUGCAUUCAAUACUGCCGUGCUUGAGGACUGGAGAGGAGACUGGAAUUUACGGUGUAGCGGUGAAAUGCGUAGAUAUCGUAAGGAAGACCAGUGGCGAAGGCGGGUCUCUGGACAGUUCCUGACGCUGAGGCACGAAGGCCAGGGGAGCAAACGGG
This 253-nucleotide ribosomal RNA is filed under the name uncultured bacterium. Its description in RNAcentral is "partial 16S ribosomal RNA". It matches the Rfam family "Bacterial small subunit ribosomal RNA", at positions 524 to 776 of the family's 1533-position model. The record is from RNAcentral.